RNAcentral lists this long non-coding RNA (750 nucleotides) under Cairina moschata (Muscovy duck). Its description in RNAcentral is "domestica (muscovy Duck (domestic type)) lncRNA (ENSCMMG00000013334.1)". The record is from RNAcentral. Lineage: Eukaryota; Metazoa; Chordata; Aves; Anseriformes; Anatidae.
AAUAAAUAUAUGGGGCUGGGACCCCCCCCCCAGGACCCCCCCGGGGUGGGAGCCCCCCCCCGUUGCACGCCCAGGGGGUGGGAGCCCCCCUUUGUGCCACCCCCCCAUUGCACACCCCCAUAGAUGCCCCCCCCUUACACCCCCAUAACCGUGCCCCCCCCUAUAUCCCAAUCCCCCCCCCCCCCCCCCCCCCCCCCCCCCCCCCCCCCCCCCCCCCCCCCCCCCCCCCCCCCCCCCCCCAUAUCCCCCCCCCGUCCCCCCCCCCCCCCCCCCCCCCCGGUGCGUUGCACACGCGCGUGCAAGGCGUGCUCAGUUGCAGGAUUACCGCAGCUUCGCGCGCACGGGGGGCCCGGGGGGCAGCGCGGCGCUGCAGCGCGUGGUGGGGCAGUUCAAUGGGGUCUCGCGCUGGGCCCAGCUCCUGGUGCUCAGCCCCACGGCGGCCCCACAGCGGGCGCGGGUCCUGGCCCGAUUCCUGCACGUGGCGCAGGUGUCCCUGGAGCUGCCCCAGACGGAGGAGGAGCUGUACGGCCUGUCCCUGCAGCGAGAGCCGCGCACGUCGGUUUUCCGCACCUUCGACGUGGACGGGGACGGGCGCAUCUCCCGCGAGGAGUUCGGGAUCCUGCGGGAAAACUUCCCCCAGCUGCACCCGCACCACUUCGGGGAGCUCGACACCGACCGGUGCGCGACCCCCGGCCCCAAGACCCCCCCGGGACCCCCAAAUCCCCCCGGGACCCCCCAAAUCCCCCCGGG